CACGCCGUAAACGAUGGAUACUAGCUGUUCGGAGCAAUCUGAGUGGCUAAGCGAAAGUGAUAAGUAUCCCACCUGGGGAGUACGCACGCAAGUGUGAAACUCAAAGGAAUUGACGGGGGCCCGCACAAGCGGUGGAGCAUGUGGUUUAAUUCGAUGCAACGCGAAGAACCUUACCUGGCCUUGACAUGUCUGGAAUCUUGUAGAGAUACGAGAGUGCCUUCGGGAAUCAGAACACAGGUGC
This 241-nucleotide ribosomal RNA is filed under the name uncultured bacterium. RNAcentral's name for it is "partial 16S ribosomal RNA". It matches the Rfam family "Bacterial small subunit ribosomal RNA", at positions 796 to 1041 of the family's 1533-position model. The record is from RNAcentral.